This 321-nucleotide ribosomal RNA is filed under the name uncultured soil bacterium. RNAcentral describes it as "bacterial SSU rRNA". It matches the Rfam family "Bacterial small subunit ribosomal RNA", at positions 26 to 373 of the family's 1533-position model. The record is from RNAcentral.
AGAACGAACGCUGGCGGCAUGCCUAACACAUGCAAGUCGAACGAGACCUUCGGGUCUAGUGGCGCACGGGUGCGUAACGCGUGGGAAUCUGCCCUUGGGUUCGGAAUAACAGCGAGAAAUUGCUGCUAAUACCGGAUGAUGACGUAAGUCCAAAGAUUUAUCGCCCAAGGAUGAGCCCGCGUAGGAUUAGCUUGUUGGUGAGGUAAGAGCUCACCAAGGCGACGAUCCUUAGCUGGUCUGAGAGGAUGAUCAGCCACACUGGGACUGAGACACGGCCCAGACUCCGUACGGGAGGCAGCAGGUGGGGAAUAUUGGACAAGU